ACCAGGUGUAGAUGUGAGUGUUAGGAUUAAAUCAUUAUUAUUUAAAAACACACACAAAAUAAAAUACCAUUUUUAAUAAAUUAGCAGCUGUUGUGCAUCAGUGUAGAAUUAAAAACCAGACCCCUGAUACUCAGAGCUGCACAAAAACAAUGUACUGGAACUCGAGUGGUUUCUUCAGUGGAAACUGAUGGAUGAAAUUUGCAGCAUUUCACAUAAUAAUAAUAAUAAUAAUAAUAAUAAUAAUAAUAAAGAUUAAGCACAGGACUCGAUCAUCACUGUCUCCUUCAACAGACUCACAUCUCAUUCAAAACCCAAACGAUUCACGAAUAAACCACACACACACUUCUCACACUGAAGUGUUAAAACCCCAAUCAGCUGAGACGUGACCAUGUGCAGAACCUCAAACGGAUCAUGACGAGGUUCAGGAUCAACACGGGUUCCAGAAACCCACAGAGCCGGGACGAGACCAAAAGCAACGGCUGAAAACAUUCCCAGGAAUCGUCAUGUGAUCCAGAGCUGAUUUAAGGAGGGAUCACGCAGAUGUGAAGAACCUGACGUGAAGUUGUAAUGGGAGAAACUGGACAUGUGAAGUUUGUACAUCUCAGAAAGUGUGAAAGAGAAACAUUGAAAACUGCAGAAGGAUUAAAUCCUGGAUUUGGAGUGUAUUUUGUAAACACUUUCCCCCCUCACACUAAUUAAACACUAAUAAACACACAAAUAUCAAAUAAAUACGAUCAACUGCUCCCCCUGUGAUUUUAUAGUACAGGAGCAGGCCCCGCCCACUGACUCCACGCAUGCGCACACGCGCCCAGCGGAUCUCGCUCUGUUUUAAAGAAGCGAGUCUGAAGAGAGAAAAAAACCCGAUUCUAAAGCAAUAAAAGUGAAAGUUGUUGUUAAAACAUCGUGUUUUGGGCGUAAAUUGAGCCUGAACUCCCCGAACACACGGUCACGUGCAGGAGCGCAGAGUUGAACAGAGUUUAAAGGUGAAAUCAGUAGAUGAUGAUGAGGAUGAUGAUGAUGAUGAGGAUGAUGAGGAGGUUCGGAGUGAAUAUGCGGAGGUUCCUGAGCCGCCAUGUUGUUCCUUCCGCUCUACUGAGCUCCAAUAAAUCCCCUGCAGACUGAAUAAGUUUCUCGUGUGCACAUGGACAGUCUGUAGAAGGAUUAUCAGAUCACUUGUGAUUGUUCUAAAAGCUGUAGGAGAAGAAAAGAGAGGGUUCAGGAGGCCGUGUGGAGGAGCAGCAGGAGGAUUUUGUUGACCUCACAGAGGCGCUGAACUUCACUUCCCCUGAGCCUCUUUGCCUCCGCCGGUGGGAGAUGUAUAAACCCACAACCCCCCGACUGUCCAGAAAUAAUCCACAUAUUUACCAGUAAUGGCAGUGAAUUGCUGAAUUAACCCGUUCAGCCCCGGGCCUGAAGCAUCUCCGAGAGCCGCCAUCUUGCCGCCACUGUCAACAACAACACCACUGCGCAUGCGCACUAUUGACCAACGGGAGCGCGCGGGAGCAGGCGCGUCACCGCCUCAGAGCUCAGGUGGUUCAUCCGUCUCCAUACCCCUCUGUCCUCUA
Silurus meridionalis is the source of this 1565-nucleotide long non-coding RNA. RefSeq lists it as uncharacterized. The transcript has 3 exons. Lineage: Eukaryota; Metazoa; Chordata; Actinopteri; Siluriformes; Siluridae. The record is from RefSeq and is a predicted model, not a curated record.